Molecule: non-coding RNA, 535 nt
Organism: Theobroma cacao (cacao)
Lineage: Eukaryota; Viridiplantae; Streptophyta; Magnoliopsida; Malvales; Malvaceae
Source: RefSeq, a predicted model, not a curated record
AAGCAAAUUACACUGGUAAAAGUACAGAGAUUGUGCUUGAAGACUGGGGUUAUGAGUAUAUCAACUCCUGGAACUGCUCGGAAUAAACUGUAGAUAGUUGGUAUCGUCGGGGACUACAGUUGGACUUGCACCAUCCAAAAACUAUGGAGUUGGGAGAGCACAAAAACCUUGAUGCUUCGCUUAUUGUGCUGAGGGACAAGUGGACCUUCAGCAUUGCCAUUAACGCCCAUUAUAAGUGGUCGCAACUGCAAUACAUAAACAAGACGCUCUUAGAGUAAAGGGAAUACGAUGCAGUGAAGUGUAUGUACUUCAAGAUGUUGCUGAGCAUCCAUCCACAAGGUUUUUUUUGCACUUAUCUCUUGCAAAAUAUCAUGGUUUGUAGAACCACUGAACUUGAGUUAAUGGAGCAUGAGUUAUAGUUUGCUGCUAACAAGACCAAAGUGCGCUUUUCGAAGUGAGAGUUUUACCUUGUUAUAAGAUUGAAGUUUGGCCCCAUGUUGAACAUAUUCACACAACUGUCUAAGGCCAUCUUUGC